AUGAUUCCAGCAGGGCGACAAGCCAUAGCAUAUGUCGGUCUGGCGUGUAUCAUCGGAUUCGUGUUGAUCCGUCGCUUCGCACUGCGCCAUGUCGCUCCCGUCGUCGGGGCCCACCACACCGCCCGCUCUCCUCAGUCUACCUUAUCCCUCAAUGUGUUUCCAUGGCUCCUCUGCCUCGCUCUGCGCCACACACCACAACCCUCCAACCCCUCCCCCCAACGUCUCAUCGGAGUUGGCCUCCGACAACCCGGAGUCAAUCUCCCCUGCGCGUGCUGUUGUGGUUCUAAGUCUGACAGUAGUGUAGGGGGGUAA
RNAcentral lists this ribosomal RNA (312 nucleotides) under Triticum aestivum (bread wheat). RNAcentral's name for it is "partial small subunit ribosomal RNA". The record is from RNAcentral. Lineage: Eukaryota; Viridiplantae; Streptophyta; Magnoliopsida; Poales; Poaceae.